GACGAACGCUGGCGGCGUGCUUAACACAUGCAAGUCGAACGGAAAGGCCCUUCGGGGUACUCGAGUGGCGAACGGGUGAGUAACACGUGGGUGAUCUGCCCUGCACUUUGGGAUAAGCCUGGGAAACUGGGUCUAAUACCGAAUAGGACCACGCGCUUCAUGGUGUGUGGUGGAAAGCUUUUGCGGUGUGGGAUGGGCCCGCGGCCUAUCAGCUUGUUGGUGGGGUAAUGGCCUACCAAGGCGACGACGGGUAGCCGGCCUGAGAGGAUGACCGGCCACACUGGGACUGAGAUACGGCCCAGACUCCUACGGGAGGCAGCAGUGGGGAAUAUUGCACAAUGGGCGCAAGCCUGAUGCAGCGACGCCGCGUGAGGGAUGACGGCCUUCGGGUUGUAAACCUCUUUCAAUAGGGACGAAGCGCAAGUGACGGUACCUAUAGAAGAAGCACCGGCCAACUACGUG
RNAcentral lists this ribosomal RNA (462 nucleotides) under uncultured bacterium. RNAcentral describes it as "partial 16S ribosomal RNA". It matches the Rfam family "Bacterial small subunit ribosomal RNA", at positions 28 to 507 of the family's 1533-position model. The record is from RNAcentral.